Molecule: long non-coding RNA, 453 nt
Organism: Etheostoma spectabile (orangethroat darter)
Lineage: Eukaryota; Metazoa; Chordata; Actinopteri; Perciformes; Percidae
Exons: 3
Source: RefSeq, a predicted model, not a curated record
GGGUGUUUUAGGGCGUGGCUAUGAUGUGAUUGACAGUUCUCGGCCUGUCAAUCAUGACAGAGUGUUAGCAAAGCUUGUCCACGGCACCUGAACUUCAUUUUGGGGGUUGACUGUUUCAUCGCUGUGGCUGUGACAUUUUGGUCGGAUAAUAAUAUCUUGUUCAGCGGUCGGUUGCACGGCAAGACACUCAAAGGAAUCGGCAGUUCAGUUUUUCCGACUUCCUUUUGAUGAGGCCAGGCUGAAGCAAUGGUUGGUGAACAUGAGGAGAGAGAGACCAGCAAAUGGAACCACGAAAAGUCACGUCUGCUGUUCACACUUUGAGGAAUAUCAGUUUUUUAGAGACAAGCAGGUAUCCACACUGAAAACUGAAUGAGCAGAGCCUCCAGAAGGAAGACGAGGUGUAUAUAGCCUCCAGAAGGAAGACCUGGUGUAUAGAGCCUCCAGAAGGAAGAC